Non-coding RNA from Oryza sativa Japonica Group (Japanese rice), 1570 nucleotides. The record is from RefSeq and is a predicted model, not a curated record. NCBI's taxonomy places the organism in Eukaryota, Viridiplantae, Streptophyta, Magnoliopsida, Poales, Poaceae.
UCCCUCCCAAUCCCCAUCCCCACCAACCUAACACGCGCCUUCAUCGCCUCCGCCGUCGUGCGCCAUCCAUGUCCUACGAUAUCCGCUGCGCUAUCCACGCCUGUUUCUCUCCCUGCAAUUGAUGUGCAGCUCACAUCAACGGGAGCCAUCCCUCAAUUGCCUCCUCACCCGCAUCGCACAUCGAGGGGCGGGGGCGAGAUCGCUCCCCUCAAUCGCUUCCUCGCCCGCAUCGCACAUCGAGGUCUCCUCACCCGCAUCUCACAUCGAGGCCUCCUCACCCGCAUCGCAGAUCCAUCACAUCCUCCUGCUGCUGCUGGUGCUGAUAUAUCCUCUCCUCCUCCUCCCUUAUGUGCCUUUGAUGUGAGCUCUCUUCUUCCUCCCUAACCGGCCACGGCAGCACUGAAUCUGAGGCAUCGGACCAAGCCAUGCAAAGGCGGAGGGUCCAGAUCUAGCCACCAGCACCACCGCCAGUCUUGGCCUCGAUGAUGACACCGGAGAGGGGAGCAGUUGAGGAGGGGAGAGGGUGGGGAUGGCUGCAUGGACAACAACAUUGGCGACAGAGGACUUCCAUAUAAUGAAUUCAGUAUUGUUCAGUGGAACAGCCAAGAAGAUAUAAUUAUGGAUGAAUUCAGUAUUGUUCAGUGGAACAGCCAAGAAGAUACAAUUAUGGAUCAUUGGGGUCAUAUUCUUGCAUGUGUUCUGCAGUUACAUUAUGUAUAACAAAAACACUGCAACAUGGUUCAGAUGGAUAUACAUGCUCGCCGGUUGCGAUCCCUUGAUCAGUAGUAGCUUGAAUAAUUGACUCUUGAACGUUCCAUUUUUCUUUUCAGGUGACAUAAGAGGUUCUGCUCCUAUAGGUUGAUUCCUUGGUGGAUGAGAAUGAAGAAAGUUUCUUGGGAGUUGGUAGAUGGCAAUGUGAAUGCAGUGACAUGACUGACAUCCAUGUGUUGGCUUCAGUAGUUAGGACGAACCAAAGAAGCAAAGGAGGCUCUAAGUCCUAAGCUCAUGAUGCAUAUUUUUUAGUUUGGACAUUGAAGGAAUGUAUGCAUAUAUUAUACAUUUUCUCUUCAAAAUCGCUUGAUUAGAAGAGGGUUUGUUUCUCUAUAUAUAAUCUAAAUGGAUUCAUGUGCACCUCUGCAGUGCUCAGGUAUGUUGAGGAGAGGAGGGUAUAUAAUUGUGGAGUUGAAAACUUUAUAUGGCCAAGUGACAUGAGAGUGCUACGCAUGUCUUCUUUCACAUGGUAUUUACACCUUAUAGGGCAGCUGCGGCAGCAGCCAUCGCUGCCGAUCAAGGCCAUAAUGUUUUGCUUAUCCUUAUAUCAGAUGCAAAACGGGGGGUGAUUGAUUGUAUAGUAUUGAGGUAUUCAUCCCUGGACAUAAGUGACAGUCUGACAUGUUGAUCAACUUAAUUGGAUUAUUGUUUUUAAUCUCCAGGUUGCAUAUUGUUACGGUGAGAGUAUGGUCCUAUAGUUGCUUAUUUUAGACCAAAUUAGUUGCAAAAGUUUAACUUGUGAUGGCACAUGUAAAACUUUGUUAUAAAUGUAGUGAGAAGUGAAACUUUAGUAUUUUUA